Molecule: ribosomal RNA, 442 nt
Filed under: uncultured bacterium
Lineage: Bacteria
Description: partial 16S ribosomal RNA
Rfam family: Bacterial small subunit ribosomal RNA
Source: RNAcentral
CCUACGGGCGGCAGCAGUGGGGAAUAUUGGGCAAUGGGCGCAAGCCUGACCCAGCAACGCCGCGUGAAGGAAGAAGGCUUUCGGGUUGUAAACUUCUUUUGUCAGGGAAGAGUAGAAGACGGUACCUGACGAAUAAGCUACGACUAACGACGUGCCAGCAGCCGCGGUAAUACGUAGGUGGCAAGCGUUGUCCGGAUUUACUGGGUGUAAAGGGCGUGUAGCCGGGUUGAUAAGUCAGAUGUGAAAUCCUGCGGCUUAACCGCAGAACUGCAUUUGAAACUGUUUAUCUUGAGUACUGGAGAGGCAGGUGGAAUUCCUGGUGUAGCGGUGAAAUGCGUAGAUAUUAGGAGGAACACCGGUGGCGAAGGCGGCCUGCUGGACAGCAACUGACGGUGAGGCGCGAAAGCGUGGGUAGCAAACAGGAUUAGAUACCCGUGUAGUC